Molecule: long non-coding RNA, 896 nt
Organism: Oryzias melastigma (Indian medaka)
Lineage: Eukaryota; Metazoa; Chordata; Actinopteri; Beloniformes; Adrianichthyidae
Exons: 3
Source: RefSeq, a predicted model, not a curated record
CUGCUGCAGGAAAAAAACAUUAUAUCACAAAAAAUGUCACUUAGCUACCACAAGGGGGCGCUGGCGGAUAAUGGUACUUUUCAGCUAUAUCAACACAGACAGGAAGCAAGGAUGGAACUUGCCUUUUAACAUGUUUACUCUAAUAUUAUUUAAAAAAAAAAAAAAAACCGUACCCAAAUUGUUUCCAUUAACAGCGACAGCAACAGAAACCACCGCAAAACCGAACCCCUCCUCCACAGAACCUGAACACAGAAAACUGUCAUGCAUGUGAUGAAGGAUCAAAGCUGCAGAGAUCUGCAGGUUCUGCUCACCUGUGUCAUUUCCGCAGUGACAGCUGGUGAAAGACAAAGGCGUCAGCGCUGCAGUCAGACAUGGAGGACAGGAAGCUCUGAAGCCUCUGCUUUAAGGCCGUCGUGUCACAGAUGUAGGACUCUCUGUAGAUGCGUCGGGCUGAGGAGACACAAGAACAGACGGCGACACUCGUGACUCCAGAGAUCAGCACGUCAGAGAUCGAGCCAAAGUUUGAGUUUGGAGUAAAAGAAGGCAGAGAAGAGAUCCACCCUCCAUGUCCUCCAAAUGUUGAAUGUAGCUGGCGGCUUCCCUGGUGCUGAGGUGCAGCCGGUGGCUGUCUCUGAUGUGCAUCAGGAUGUGUUUGGAGUGGAAAGCAGAAGGAGAGUAAUACACCAGCUUGGAGAGGCACAGAGAGCCGGAUGACAUGAUUUCAAACUUGCUUCCCUGGAGAUUGACAGUCAAUAAAAAAAGAGUCCCUUUUUCAAAUUUAGAAUUAAAUAUUUUCACAAACUUAAAGAUAAAAGCUACCUGAAACGUCAAAGAGUCAAUAUCGUUCCAGGAAAAGUCUAAAAGGAUCUGUUGAAUCCCAUUGAUUUCCUUAAAAA